Non-coding RNA from Elusimicrobia bacterium GWD2_63_28, 71 nucleotides. Lineage: Bacteria; Pseudomonadati; Elusimicrobiota. The record is from Rfam.
CUUCAGUGUAAUCCCCGGGAUUGGCCGGGGAGCAUCCACCUCCGGACCUUAAUCCGGAUUCACCACUAAGC